AUUGAACGCUGGCGGCAGGCCUAACACAUGCAAGUCGAGCGGCGCGGCGGACGGGUGAGUACUGCCUAGGAAUCUGCCUGGUGGUGGGGGAUCACGUACGGAAACGGGCGCUAAUACCGCAUACUAUCAAAUGAGCCUAGGUCGGAUUAGCUAGUUGGUGGGGUAAAGGCGUACCAAGGCGACGAGUCGUAACUGGUCUGAGAGGAUGAUCAGUAACACUGGAAGUGAGACACGGGCCAGACUCCGACUGGGAGAAGGAGUGGGGAAUAUUGGACAAUGGGCGAAAGGCUGAUCCAGCCAGGCCGGGUGUGCGAAGAAGGUCUUCCGAUGGUAAGCACGUUAAGUUGGGAGGCGUUACCAACAGAAUAAGCACCGGCUAACUCCGUGCCAGCCGCCGCGGUAAUAC
Molecule: ribosomal RNA, 406 nt
Filed under: uncultured bacterium
Lineage: Bacteria
Description: partial 16S ribosomal RNA
Rfam family: Bacterial small subunit ribosomal RNA
Source: RNAcentral